This 678-nucleotide ribosomal RNA is filed under the name uncultured Bacteroidales bacterium. RNAcentral describes it as "bacterial SSU rRNA". It matches the Rfam family "Bacterial small subunit ribosomal RNA", at positions 50 to 716 of the family's 1533-position model. Lineage: Bacteria; Pseudomonadati; Bacteroidota; Bacteroidia; Bacteroidales. The record is from RNAcentral.
AACACAUGCAAGUCGAGGGGCAGCAUUCCAGUUUGCUUGCAAACUGGAGAUGGCGACCGGCGCACGGGUGAGUAACACGUAUCCAACCUGCCGAUAACUCGGGGAUAGCCUUUCGAAAGAAAGAUUAAUACCCGAUGGCAUAAUAGAACCGCAUGGUUUGAUUAUUAAAGAAUUUCGGUUAUCGAUGGGGAUGCGUUCCAUUAGGCAGUUGGUGGGGUAACGGCCCACCAAACCUUCGAUGGAUAGGGGUUCUGAGAGGAAGGUCCCCCACAUUGGAACUGAGACACGGUCCAAACUCCUACGGGAGGCAGCAGUGAGGAAUAUUGGUCAAUGGACGAGAGUCUGAACCAGCCAAGUAGCGUGAAGGAUGACUGCCCUAUGGGUUGUAAACUUCUUUUAUAUGGGAAUAAAGUGGUCCACGUGUGGAUUUUUGUAUGUACCAUAUGAAUAAGGAUCGGCUAACUCCGUGCCAGCAGCCGCGGUAAUACGGAGGAUCCGAGCGUUAUCCGGAUUUAUUGGGUUUAAAGGGAGCGUAGGUGGACAGUUAAGUCAGUUGUGAAAGUUUGCGGCUCAACCGUAAAAUUGCAGUUGAUACUGGCUGUCUUGAGUACAGUAGAGGUGGGCGGAAUUCGUGGUGUAGCGGUGAAAUGCUUAGAUAUCACGAAGAACUCCGAUUGC